AGCUACGGCCACACCGCCUGGUUCACGCCCGAUCUCGUUUGAUCUCGGAAGCUAAGAUAGGUUGGGCCUGGUUAGUACUUGGAUGGGAGACCGCCUAGGAAUACCAGGUGCUGUAAGGC
This is a ribosomal RNA of Scophthalmus maximus (turbot), 119 nucleotides long. The record is from Ensembl. NCBI's taxonomy places the organism in Eukaryota, Metazoa, Chordata, Actinopteri, Pleuronectiformes, Scophthalmidae.